CCACCCGGUAAGCCUAAAUACUUAUGAUGACCGAUAGCGGAUAGUACCGUGAGGGAAUGGUGAAAAGUACCCCGGGAGGGGAGUGAAAUAGUACCUGAAACCGUGUGCUUACAAUCCGUCAGAGCCUUGUUUGUUAGGUGAUGGCGUGCCUUUUGAAGAAUGAGCCUGCGAGUCAGCGGCAUGUCGCGAGGUUAACCCGUGUGGGGUAGUCGUAGCGAAAGCGAAUCCUAAUGAGGGUGUUUGUUAGUGGCAUGUC
This 256-nucleotide ribosomal RNA is filed under the name Corynebacterium diphtheriae bv. mitis. RNAcentral's name for it is "partial 23S ribosomal RNA". It matches the Rfam family "Bacterial large subunit ribosomal RNA", at positions 453 to 708 of the family's 2925-position model. The record is from RNAcentral. Lineage: Bacteria; Bacillati; Actinomycetota; Actinomycetes; Mycobacteriales; Corynebacteriaceae.